RNAcentral lists this ribosomal RNA (490 nucleotides) under uncultured bacterium. Its description in RNAcentral is "partial 16S ribosomal RNA". It matches the Rfam family "Bacterial small subunit ribosomal RNA", at positions 28 to 507 of the family's 1533-position model. The record is from RNAcentral.
GAUGAACGCUAGCUACAGGCUUAACACAUGCAAGUCGCGGGGCAGCAUGGGGGUUGCUUGCACCUCCCGAUGGCGACCGGCGCACGGGUGAGUAACGCGUAUCCAACCUGCCCUUCACCACGGGAUAACCCGGCGAAAGUCGGACUAAUACCGUAUGUUGUCCAUUGACGGCAUCCGAUUUGGACGAAAGGCUUUGCGGUGAAGGAUGGGGAUGCGUCCGAUUAGCCAGACGGCGGGGUAACGGCCCACCGUGGCUACGAUCGGUAGGGGUUCUGAGAGGAAGGUCCCCCACACUGGAACUGAGACACGGUCCAGACUCCUACGGGAGGCAGCAGUGAGGAAUAUUGGUCAAUGGGCGUAAGCCUGAACCAGCCAAGUAGCGUGCAGGAGGACGGCCCUAUGGGUUGUAAACUGCUUUUAUGCGGGGAUAAAGUGACCCACGUGUGGGCUUUUGCAGGUACCGCAUGAAUAAGGACCGGCUAAUUCCGUG